AGUGACAAAAGUAAACAAAGUAAUGGAAAAUAUUAUUGAAAUUAAAAAUAAUCAUUCACUUUUGGGACAUAUUUUAGGUAUUAAUGAGAUCAUUGGUAACCUCAUAAAAAAAUUUGAAAUUAAAGGAAUCUACAAAUUUUUAAUAGUAAUAUUAAUUUGUUUCUUCAUUUUUAUUUUAAAUGUUCAGUCAUUUAAAAGACCAUUUCUCAAUCCUGUUUGUUAAUAAUGUUGGGGUUUAAAUGGAGGUGGCAGGGGUGGGAUAGGUGUCAUCAGGGCCACCAGGCACAGGAUUGAGAAAUUAUACAUAUCAUAUUUAAUCACUAUACUAUAAUAAUAUUUUCCAUUGUUGAGCAACUGUCCGGAGGGAGAUCUGUCUUGCCCACAUUUAAAUCUAGUGUCUUAUGUUGGUCUGGAAUAAUUAGAAGCUUCAAUUAGAUGUUGGAGGAAUGGAAUUGAAAGCUUUGAAACCUCUCCAGACUGCAUAUACGUCACUUCUGGGUCAAGUACCAAGUCCAAGACCUCCAUUGGUUCGAUGGCCAGAUCCUGGUCUUAUGUGACUAUGUGACAUUACUAGGAACAUGGAACCACCUGGUCAUUGCUAGAGUUUUAUAUCACCUUCGGCUGUUGAGCUCAACAAUUGAAUUGGCUAACAGGAAUUCAAGAAAUCAAAAUUUCUCACUUAGUUCAGGGAAAAAAAUGGUGUUUAAUUACUUUUCUUCCAAUAAAUGAUCAACAUGCCAA
This is a long non-coding RNA of Danio aesculapii, 741 nucleotides long. RefSeq lists it as uncharacterized. NCBI's taxonomy places the organism in Eukaryota, Metazoa, Chordata, Actinopteri, Cypriniformes, Danionidae. The record is from RefSeq and is a predicted model, not a curated record. The transcript has 5 exons.